CACCAUGAAUCCAUUCCUGAUCCUUGCCUUUGUGGGAGCUGCUGCCGCAUCCAGGUGAGACUGGGAGAGCACAACAUCAAAGUCCUGGAGGGGAAUGAGCAGUUCAUCAAUGCGGCCAAGAUCAUCCGCCACCCCAAAUACAACAGGGACACUCUGGACAAUGACAUCAUGCUGAUCAAACUCUCCUCACCUG
Molecule: small RNA, 193 nt
Filed under: Pan troglodytes (chimpanzee)
Lineage: Eukaryota; Metazoa; Chordata; Mammalia; Primates; Hominidae
Description: processed transcript
Source: RNAcentral